RNAcentral lists this ribosomal RNA (216 nucleotides) under uncultured bacterium. Its description in RNAcentral is "partial 16S ribosomal RNA". It matches the Rfam family "Bacterial small subunit ribosomal RNA", at positions 1285 to 1500 of the family's 1533-position model. The record is from RNAcentral.
GUCCCAGUUCGGAUCGCAGGCUGCAACCCGCCUGCGUGAAGUUGGAAUCGCUAGUAAUCGCGGAUCAGCAUGCCGCGGUGAAUACGUUCCCGGGCCUUGUACACACCGCCCGUCACACCAUGAGAGUCGGGAACACCCGAAGUCCGUAGCCUAACCGCAAGGGGGCGCGGCCGAAGGUGGGUUCGAUAAAUUGGGGUGAAGUCGUAACAAGGUAUC